GCCCUUAUCGUCUAGAGGCCUAGGACGCCAGGUUCUCAUCCUGGUAACUCGGGUUCGAAUCCCGAUGAGGGCG
Molecule: transfer RNA, 73 nt
Filed under: bacterium
Lineage: Bacteria
Description: tRNA-Glu
Rfam family: tRNA
About the family: Transfer RNA (tRNA) molecules are approximately 80 nucleotides in length. Their secondary structure includes four short double-helical elements and three loops (D, anti-codon, and T loops).
Source: RNAcentral